GGUUCUAUGGAGUAGUGGUCAACUCUAGCGGUUCUGACUUGUUCUCAGGAUCCCCUCGAACGUCGAACGAGGGAUGUUUCGUUUCCGCUCGCCCCCGGUUCGAAUCCGGGUAGGACCU
This 118-nucleotide transfer RNA is filed under the name Pseudozyma flocculosa. Its description in RNAcentral is "Anthracocystis flocculosa transfer RNA-Pseudo(CTG)". The record is from RNAcentral. Lineage: Eukaryota; Fungi; Basidiomycota; Ustilaginomycetes; Ustilaginales; Ustilaginaceae.